GACGAACGCUGGCGGCGUGCCUAAUACAUGCAAGUUGAGCGCUGAAGGUUGGUACUUGUACCAACUGGAUGAGCAGCGAACGGGUGAGUAACGCGUGGGGAAUCUGCCUUUGAGCGGGGGACAACAUUUGGAAACGAAUGCUAAUACCGCAUAAAAACUUUAAACACAAGUUUUAAGUUUGAAAGAUGCAAUUGCAUCACUCAAAGAUGAUCCCGCGUUGUAUUAGCUAGUUGGUGAGGUAAAGGCUCACCAAGGCGAUGAUACAUAGCCGACCUGAGAGGGUGAUCGGCCACAUUGGGACUGAGACACGGCCCAAAACUCCUACGGGAGGCAGCAGUAGGGAAUCUUCGGCAAUGGACGAAAGUCUGACCCGAGCAAACGCCCGCGUGAAGUGAAGAAGGGUUUCGGA
RNAcentral lists this ribosomal RNA (409 nucleotides) under Lactococcus lactis. Its description in RNAcentral is "bacterial SSU rRNA". It matches the Rfam family "Bacterial small subunit ribosomal RNA", at positions 28 to 422 of the family's 1533-position model. The record is from RNAcentral. Lineage: Bacteria; Bacillati; Bacillota; Bacilli; Lactobacillales; Streptococcaceae.